Molecule: ribosomal RNA, 512 nt
Filed under: uncultured bacterium
Lineage: Bacteria
Description: partial 16S ribosomal RNA
Rfam family: Bacterial small subunit ribosomal RNA
Source: RNAcentral
GAUGAACGCUGGCGGCGUGCCUAAUACAUGCAAGUCGAACGAAACUUCUUUAUCACCGAGUGCUUGCACUCACCGAUAAAGAGUUGAGUGGCGAACGGGUGAGUAACACGUGGGCAACCUGCCCAAAAGAGGGGGAUAACACUUGGAAACAGGUGCUGAUACCGCAUAACCAUAGUUACCGCAUGGUAACUAUGUAAAAGGUGGCUAUACUACCGCUUUUGGAUGGGCCCGCGGCGCAUUAGCUAGUUGGUAGGGUAAAGGCUUACCAAGGCAAUGAUGCGUAGCCGAAUUGAGAGGUUGAUCGGCCACAUUGGGACUGAGACACGGCCCAAACUCCUACGGGAGGCAGCAGUAGGGAAUCUUCCACAAUGGGCGAAAGCCUGAUGGAGCAACGCCGCGUGGGUGAAGAAGGUCUUCGGAUCGUAAAACCCUGUUGUUAGAGAAGAAAGUGCGUGAGAGUAACUGUUCACGUUUCGACGGUAUCUAACCGGAAAGCCACGGCUAACUACGUG